GCCAGGUGCGUGUACCUUCCUGCUCCUCCUCCGCCUAUCGGCCGCCCGCCAGUCCCGUUAGCGCCGCUACUGCUGGAAGGACAGUUUCUGGUGUGUGACCCACAGAGGAUUACAUAAACCAGCUAUCUCCGAGGAUUAAACCACGGAAAUGCUCGGAAAACAUGAGAGGUGCUGGAGGUUGACGACAUUAUGUAAAGGACCAGCAAACUUCCAUGAGUAACCAAUCUCAAUCAGAGGAUAAAUGCUCCAUGUGGAGAAGCCCUUACUGGCACAUACUUCUGAAUAGACACUACAGUAACACACUGGUAGGCUGCAAUCCUAUGUACGUUUACAUGGGAGUGUCUCACUGAACUCCCAGUAAACAUGCAGUUGCACUUAGCCUGCUUUAGAGAUAGGAAAGGAGAAAUAAACCUGGUGUUGAAAAAGAGGA
Molecule: long non-coding RNA, 430 nt
Organism: Elgaria multicarinata webbii
Lineage: Eukaryota; Metazoa; Chordata; Lepidosauria; Squamata; Anguidae
Exons: 3
Source: RefSeq, a predicted model, not a curated record